CCUACGGGUGGCAGCAGUGAGGAAUAUUGGUCAAUGGGCGUAAGCCUGAACCAGCCAAGUCGCGUGAGGGAUGAAGGUUCUAUGUAUCGUAAACCUCUUUUAUAAGGGAAUAAAGUGUGGGACGUGUCCUAUUUUGUAUGUACCUUAUGAAUAAGGAUCGGCUAACUACGUGCCAGCAGCAGCGGUAAUACGGAGGAUCCGAGCGUUAUCCGGAUUUAUUGGGUUUAAAGGGUGCGUAGGCGGCCGUUUAAGUCUGCGGUGAAAGUCUGUGGCUCAACCAUAGAACUGCCGUUGAUACUGGGGGGAUAGAGUGCGUUAGAGGCAGGCGGAAUGCGUGGUGUAGCGGUGAAAUGCUUAGAUAUCACGCAGAACCCCGAUUGCGAAGGCAGCAUACCGGCGCCCAACUGACGUUGAGGCACGAAAGCGUGGGUAUCGAACAGGAUUAGAUACCCGAGUAGUC
Molecule: ribosomal RNA, 460 nt
Filed under: uncultured bacterium
Lineage: Bacteria
Description: partial 16S ribosomal RNA
Rfam family: Bacterial small subunit ribosomal RNA
Source: RNAcentral